RNAcentral lists this unclassified non-coding RNA (884 nucleotides) under uncultured Bradyrhizobium sp. Its description in RNAcentral is "partial 16S-23S ribosomal RNA intergenic spacer". The stretch from base 771 to 884 matches the Rfam family "Bacterial large subunit ribosomal RNA", at positions 1 to 113 of the family's 2925-position model. Lineage: Bacteria; Pseudomonadati; Pseudomonadota; Alphaproteobacteria; Hyphomicrobiales; Nitrobacteraceae. The record is from RNAcentral.
CUAAGGAUGGUUCUUCAGAAGCUUGCUUCUAUCGAGCCGUUUUAGAAACAUCAGUGGCCAACAGAUCGCCAGAUCGUUGAGCUGCAUUGGCGGGAUUUCGCCGUCUUCGUUUCUCUUUCUUCGCGGACGAACACGCGCUGGGCCUGCAUCGAGCAGGAUCCCACGGUCCCUGACGGGAUAUGCGUUAGGGGCUUGUAGCUCAGUUGGUUAGAGCGCGCGCUUGAUAAGCGUGAGGUCGGAAGUUCAAGUCUUCCCAGGCCCACCACUUUCAGUGAGCAUUCGUCUUCUGGUUACGGGGCCAUAGCUCAGCUGGGAGAGCGCGUGCUUUGCAAGCAUGAGGUCGUCGGUUCGAUCCCGUCUGGCUCCACCAGAUGGUUUGAUCACCGAGAUCUUGUACCGUCGUCCGCGAAACAUCACUUCGCAUCCUGCUAGUCUGGAUAGACAGCAAGAUGCGUGUUUUCUGACAUCGUAAAGAGGAGAUCGAUCCGAGUUGGGUCGUGCAGCAGAUUGUUGCGCGGAUCCUUCAUUAUCUCCGGAUCAUUUUCGGCGCUCGCUCUCAGCCGUGAGGUUGAAUGCGAGUUGUAAAAUGAUCCUUUUAGCGAAGCUUGACCGCCUCGCUAUCGGAACGAUCUUACGAAGCAAGCUGGUCUUUCUAGUCAAUGUCCGGCUGCAGAUAGCGUUCAUCGAGGGCGCGUGCCUUAGAGACUUCGGUUUCUUGGCAAUUCUGCAGACAACAUUCUGCCGAGUGUGUGGACAUUGAUAAUGAGAGCAAUCAAGUGCCUUAAGGGUGUUCGGUGGAUGCCUUGGCGCUGAGAGGCGAUGAAGGACGUGCUACGCUGCGAUAAGCCGUGGGGAGCUGCGAAGAAGCUUUGAUCCGCGGAUUU